CGGAGUUUGACGCAAGCGAAAGAAAAAGAAUAAUAAAAGAAAAAAGUUUUUUUUUGUAACGAGUCCCCCAAAAAAAUGGUUACCAGCAGUUUGCUGCUGGUUGUAAUAUUACGGUUCACUUUGGAUGAGAAGACGAAUCACACCCAUCGCCGAUAUGCUCUGGACCUUUGGCAAGAGGAUGGGAGGACUUCAUCGGAAACUACGGGAUUGCAUUUACAACCCGGCGCCCGCACGCUGGAUUUCAAAGGGGAAAAUCCGCAGUACAAUUUAGUGAUCAUCGGGAGAACCAGCCACAGAACACAGGAGGAAUAAAUAUAUGGGGCUGCUGGCAAAGUUAAAUCGACCGGAUAAGUCGACUGCCAUCGUCAACUGGUUGAUCAUUGCAUAAGAUGUUACGAAGUCGUCAGAUUCACGUUUCGGUUCACGCUCGUCUGGGAAGCAACACCAACCGCACAAAGGUAGACAUCAGGAGCCAAAGGGACAAAUGAUGACCUCAUUGCCUAUUCUAAUGCUGAUGUUUCAGCAGCAUGUUAGUACAAUAAAGAAAUUUGAAA
Uranotaenia lowii is the source of this 554-nucleotide long non-coding RNA. RefSeq lists it as uncharacterized. The record is from RefSeq and is a predicted model, not a curated record. The transcript is spliced from 3 exons. Lineage: Eukaryota; Metazoa; Arthropoda; Insecta; Diptera; Culicidae.